GCUCCUAGCCGGCCGCUCAGGGGCGGCUGGUUUCCCUGGCAACCGCUGCGCAGCGUCUUCCUGAGGGAGCCUUUUCUGUCAGCCCGCGGAUCCCACCGCUCGCUCCCCAGGGCCCGGUGGUUUUAGCGUGGGCUCAUUGACUGACAGACAACAAAAAUGGCGGAGCGGAGCCAGACGGCGCCAGAGGCAGGCAAUGAUACAGGAAAUGAGGAUGCCAUUGGAGGGAAUGUGAACAAGUACAUAGUGCUUCCAACUGGUUACUCUGGACAGCCCAAGAGAGGACAUCUUACCUUUGAUGCUUGCUUUGAAAGCG
This 313-nucleotide long non-coding RNA is filed under the name Rattus norvegicus (Norway rat). RNAcentral describes it as "long non-coding RNA NONRATT022490". Lineage: Eukaryota; Metazoa; Chordata; Mammalia; Rodentia; Muridae. The record is from RNAcentral.